This 301-nucleotide ribosomal RNA is filed under the name uncultured bacterium. Its description in RNAcentral is "partial 16S ribosomal RNA". It matches the Rfam family "Bacterial small subunit ribosomal RNA", at positions 509 to 808 of the family's 1533-position model. The record is from RNAcentral.
CAGCAGCCGCGGUAAGACAGAGGAUGCAAGCGUUAUCUGGAAUGAUUGGGCGUAAAGCGACUGUAGGUGGCUUUUCAAGUCUGCAGUCAAACCCCAAGGCUCAACCCUGGACAGGCGGCGGAAACUACCAAGAUGGAGUACGGUAGGGGCAGAGGGAAUUUCCGGUGGAGCGAUGAAAUGCGUUGAGAUCGGAAAGAACACCAACGGUGAAAGCACUCUGCUGGGCCGACACUGACACUGAGAGACGAAAGUUAGGGGAGAAAAUGGGAUUAGAUACCCCAGUAGUCCCUGUCUCUUAUAC